ACAGCAGCCGCCGCGGGAAUACGUAGGUGGCAAGCGUUGUCCGGAAUUAUUGGGCGUAAAGGGCUCGCAGGCGGUUUCUUAAGUCUGAUGUGAAAGCCCCCGGCUCAACCGGGGAGGGUCAUUGGAAACUGGGAAACUUGAGUGCAGAAGAGGAGAGUGGAAUUCCACGUGUAGCGGUGAAAUGCGUAGAGAUGUGAAGGAACACCGGUGGCGAAGGCGACUCUCUGGUCUGUAACUGACGCUGAGGAGCGAAAGCGUGGGGAGCGAACAGGAUUAGAUACCCCCGUAGUCCCUGUCUCUUAUAC
This 305-nucleotide ribosomal RNA is filed under the name uncultured bacterium. Its description in RNAcentral is "partial 16S ribosomal RNA". It matches the Rfam family "Bacterial small subunit ribosomal RNA", at positions 508 to 807 of the family's 1533-position model. The record is from RNAcentral.